CACGUAGGGCGCAAGCGUUGUCCGGAAUUAUUGGGCGUAAAGAGCUCGUAGGUGGUUUGUUACGUCCGCUGUGAAAUCCUAGGGCUUAACCCUGGGCUUGCAGUGGAUACGGGCAGACUAGAGGUAGGUAGGGGAGAAUGGAAUUCCUGGUGUAGCGGUGAAAUGCGCAGAUAUCAGGAGGGACACCCGUAGCGAAGGCGGCACUCUGGGCCGAUACUGACACUGAGGAGCGAAAGCGUGGGGAGCGAACAGG
This 253-nucleotide ribosomal RNA is filed under the name uncultured bacterium. RNAcentral's name for it is "partial 16S ribosomal RNA". It matches the Rfam family "Bacterial small subunit ribosomal RNA", at positions 524 to 776 of the family's 1533-position model. The record is from RNAcentral.